This is a non-coding RNA of Heterocephalus glaber (naked mole-rat), 2469 nucleotides long. The record is from RefSeq and is a predicted model, not a curated record. Lineage: Eukaryota; Metazoa; Chordata; Mammalia; Rodentia; Bathyergidae.
GGAGCCAAGGAGCAAGAGGGUGAGGCCAGGCAGCCUGAGCCCCGGGGCCCCCAGAGCACCCAGGCACAGAGGCCGGGAGGUCACAGCAGCUUCUGGUGUGUUUAUUUUUAGAAUCCAGGGUCUCAGAGUCAGUGAGGCAACAGGAAACCCUGUUGUGGUCUGGCUGGCUGUGACGAACGCAGUCGGAACCACAGCCCAGUUGCAGGACACCCCCCUACCGGAAGCCACCCCACGGUUCAGGGACAUCACAACCUGAGGGCUGGCAGGGAGAGUGAGAGGCAGGGGAGGAGGACAGGCCACGAGUAAAAGUACCCAGAGUGUCACAGGAAAGUCACGGGACCUCUCCCCUCCUCGUUCCACAGAUGAGUCCUGGACAGAUUGGGUCUAAGUUGCUUAUUGCCCAGACUGAUCUUGAAGUUGUGAUUCUCCUGCCUCAGCUCCGCAGCGCACUGGGAUUGCAGGCAUGAACCACCAUACCUGGCUCAGCCAGUGCUAUUUUAACUACACAUGCCGUUGUUCACAGAGAUAACUUCAAGGCAAAAGCAAAUUGUUUCGCCUUCCCCUGUGCCCACCUUACUCUACCAGAAUCUUCAAGCUCCAAGGUCUAUCAGAGAAUGCCAUCUGUUUCCUAAGCCUCCCAUGCCCCCAACAGCUUCUAGGAGGAGAAACAGAAGCACGGGGAGAACACUGGCCUGAAGUCACAUCAGGUCACAAACCAACACGAGGUGGCAGGCAAGGGAGGCGGGCACUCGUACAGACCACAGGAACACAAGGACCCCAUGUGAACACGCCCGGCCCCGCACUGCUGUAACUAGGAAAACCUGCUCUCGACCCAGCUGCACAGUGGAAUCAGCUGCAGGGUUUCGAAUGCCCCUGUCCUGGACUCCGAGAUCCCGACCCAACCAGCCUCGGUGUGGCGAUGGCCGGUGUGCAGCCUGGCACCAGCACUGACCCACAGCUGCUGCAUAGGAGCCAUCAGGUGACAGGAGCCGUGGGGCUGCAGGCGUCAAAGCACAGCCAGCCCCAGGCUCCUGGUGGGGCUGGCACAUGCCACCAGGAUUCGAGUCACCUGACGGGCCACAAAGCCAGCUUGCCCUCAGGAUGGAGACCGCAGCCCCACACCACGGACAAUUCUGAAUCUUUCUCCAGCUACUCAUAGGCACCCGACUAAUGCCUCUUCUACAGCUGUGGUGGUGGCUGUGGCCAAGCACCCUGCUAAGGACUUUGUGUGCAGUCUCCUUUAACCCCUGCCACUGCUGUGUGCCCUGGUGUGGUCGUUCCCAUUUUACAGGACAGGGAAACUGAGGCUCAGAGAAGGUCUCCAUGGAGGGCAGGGGUCCACAGUGGGCUGAGUCCAUCUCCAUAGAACUGGCUACUGUGAAUCCCCUAACCACCUUAUCAAUUUCUUGAACAACACAGCUGUUCUGUCAUAAAAAGUAGGAGAGCUCUAAAGCAAACCAGUGAAAACAAGGUUCUCAAAACACAAGGAACAUGCCAGGGAUUUAGCUCAGUGGUUCCACCACCUGCCUUGGAAGCACAAGGUCCCGAGUUCGAUCUCCGGUACCAAAAACCCCCCCCCAAACCACACAAUGAACUUGACAAGAGUCAAGCAUGACAAAGAACGUGUUCUCUGACCAGACCAUUUGCCCCUAGCGGCCCUGCCCAUCUCCCCAGGUCCCCAGCAAUGCCACCGCCUCUGUGACGACAGGCAGGCUCCUGCCCCCAGAGCUCCCCAAGGUGCAUCCUCAGAAGGCCCUGCAUUCUGGGUACCACUGCCCCUGCAGCUUCUGAGCCCUGGUCCAGGCCUGGACGAGGCCCCCUCUACACCUCGCACCUGCCUGCCUCCUCCAGAUUCCCUUGGACUCCCCAGGUUUACCUGCUGCUGUUCAUCCCAGGGGACAGACCCGCACCCCACAUCCAUUUUUUUUUAGUGUUACUAGUGUGAAACGUGAGCAAAAGGGAAACACAUUCCUAACAGCCCGACACACCCAGCUUCUCUAGCAUUUAUCUACUUCUCAAACCUGCAUCUUUAGGGUUAUAGUCUGAGAUCACAGAUGAUUCUGCAUCUUUCUCCCAGUUACAGGCACCCGACUUAUGCCUCUUCCUGGCCAAGACACUUUCCAAGGAAUCAGAUGGUCUUAUUGUUGCAUUUUGAUUGAGUCUCAUUUUCAGCAUCUUUAUCACCAAUUCUAGAAGCACAUUUUCUCACCUUUUAACAUCUCUGAAAGGUGGAUGUGCCUGUUUCGCAAUGGGUCUGUUUCAGCCUUGUGUCAUUUUAUCUCACCAAAGUACUUCACAGUACAUAACAGUCCAUCUACAACAGACAGCAUCUCACAUCCAAUGUGCUCAGUAUCUAGUGCCAUGAAUUUGUCCUUUUGUAGUACUGGGGUUUGAACCCAGGCUCUGUGCACACUAAGCAAGCACCCUGCUGCUGAGCUGCAUCCUCAGCCCGUUUUUAUUUAUUCUGAG